RNAcentral lists this transfer RNA (72 nucleotides) under Camelus ferus (Wild Bactrian camel). It matches the Rfam family "tRNA". From Rfam's summary of the family: Transfer RNA (tRNA) molecules are approximately 80 nucleotides in length. Their secondary structure includes four short double-helical elements and three loops (D, anti-codon, and T loops). Further hydrogen bonds mediate the characteristic L-shaped molecular structure. tRNAs have two regions of fundamental functional importance: the anti-codon, which is responsible for specific mRNA codon recognition, and the 3' end, to which the tRNAs corresponding amino acid is attached (by aminoacyl-tRNA synthetases). tRNAs cope with the degeneracy of the genetic code in two manners: having more than one tRNA (with a specific anti-codon) for a particular amino acid; and 'wobble' base-pairing, i.e. permitting non-standard base-pairing at the 3rd anti-codon position. The record is from Rfam by way of RNAcentral. Lineage: Eukaryota; Metazoa; Chordata; Mammalia; Artiodactyla; Camelidae.
GAGGGUAGAACUCAGUGAUAGAGCACAUGCUUAGCACGCAUGCGGUCCUGGGUUCAAUCCCCAGGACCUCCA